ACACGCCACAGCUCAUCAGAUGUCGAUGUGAUCUACCUGACCAGCUGACGACAGGGAGAGCUGAGAGACAGAGAGGAGGAGGAGGGAGAGAAACAAGAGAGCUGACAUGGGCCGGAUAAGAGGACAGAGAAGUGCAGGAGUGAGAGUGAAUGGAGAACUUUCCUGAAGAUUGCUGCUAUUCUCCGGCUUAUUGCCUCCUGUCCUUCAUGGUUUCACAUGACGUCCCGGGUGUCAGGAUCGCCUUCAGGCUGGAAAUGAGGAAGCUGAUGAUACGAGCGGACUGGGAUCAAAAAGGAGGAAAUUGGCAAAGGUGGAAAGAAACAAACAUAAAAUAAAUACACUUCCAAAAG
Molecule: long non-coding RNA, 350 nt
Organism: Notolabrus celidotus (New Zealand spotty)
Lineage: Eukaryota; Metazoa; Chordata; Actinopteri; Labriformes; Labridae
Exons: 2
Source: RefSeq, a predicted model, not a curated record